Molecule: unclassified non-coding RNA, 234 nt
Filed under: Cistella sp.
Lineage: Eukaryota; Fungi; Ascomycota; Leotiomycetes; Helotiales
Description: partial internal transcribed spacer region
Rfam family: Eukaryotic small subunit ribosomal RNA (bases 1-46)
Source: RNAcentral
AAGUCGUAACAAGGUUUCCGUAGGUGAACCUGCGGAAGGAUCAUUACUGAGUUCAUGCCCUUACGGGUAGAUCUCCCACCCUUGAAUAUCUAAACCUUUGUUGCUUUGGCGGGCCGCUUCGGCUACCGGCUCCGGCUGGUGAGUGCCCGCUAGAGAACCUUAAACUCUGAAUUACAGUGUCGUCUGAGUACUAUAAAAUAGUUAAAACUUUCAACAACGGAUCUCUUGGUUCUG